UCAAGACUCUUUUUUGGCGUUGUUGCUGGGGAGUGAAGCGCCNUUGGUGAGUGGAAUUUGGUAAGGAACAUUUUUGUUGUGUGUUGGAAUUUACCGUUGCUUGUCACUAUUGAUAGUAAUCCUUUGAGAGGUCUGUUCGGGGUAUCUCCACCUUGAAUGGAAGUGGCACAAGCCGCUCCCCAACCUAUUGAACUUUAUGAUAAUAUAUACGAUGAAAUUCCUUCGGGUAUGUUAGAUAAACUGCUAGCUAAUAUUUAUGCAAGAGUCGGUACAACUCAUCCUGAUUUGCACUUGAUAUAUGU
RNAcentral lists this long non-coding RNA (302 nucleotides) under Hordeum vulgare. Its description in RNAcentral is "long non-coding RNA (HVUL_LNC021305)". The record is from RNAcentral. Lineage: Eukaryota; Viridiplantae; Streptophyta; Magnoliopsida; Poales; Poaceae.